UAACAAGGAUUCCCCUAGUAACUGCGAGUGAAGCGGGAAAAGCUCAAAUUUAAAAUCUGGCGGUCUUCUGGCCGUCCGAGUUGUAGUCUGGAGAAGCGUUUUCCGCGUUGGCCCGUGUACAAGUUUCCUGGAACGGAGCGUCAUAGAGGGUGAGAAUCCCGUCUUUGACACGGACCCCAAUGCUUUGUGAUGCGCUCUCAAAGAGUCGAGUUGUUUGGGAAUGCAGCUCAAAAUGGGUGGUGAAUUCCAUCUAAAGCUAAAUAUUGGCGAGAGACCGAUAGCGAACAAGUACCGUGAGGGAAAGAUGAAAAGCACUUUGGAAAGAGAGUUAAACAGUACGUGAAAUUGUUGAAAGGGAAACGCUUGAAGUCAGUCGCGUCGUCCGGGACUCAGCCUUGCAUCCGCUUGGUGUACUUUCCGGUCGACGGGCCAGCAUCAGUUUUGACCGCGAGAUAAAGGCGGAGGGAAUGUGGCUCUUUCGGGAGUGUUAUAGCCCUUCGUCAGAUGUCGCGGUUGGGACUGAGGAACUCAGCACGCCUUUAUGGCCGGGGUUCGCCCACGUACGUGCUUAGGAUGCUGGCGU
RNAcentral lists this ribosomal RNA (583 nucleotides) under Stereum hirsutum. RNAcentral's name for it is "eukaryotic LSU rRNA". It matches the Rfam family "Eukaryotic large subunit ribosomal RNA", at positions 66 to 632 of the family's 3401-position model. The record is from RNAcentral. Lineage: Eukaryota; Fungi; Basidiomycota; Agaricomycetes; Russulales; Stereaceae.